This 526-nucleotide ribosomal RNA is filed under the name uncultured eukaryote. RNAcentral's name for it is "SSU rRNA". It matches the Rfam family "Eukaryotic small subunit ribosomal RNA", at positions 75 to 604 of the family's 1831-position model. The record is from RNAcentral.
UAUACAGCGAAACUGCGAAUGGCUCAUUAUAUAAGUUAUCGUUUAUUUGAUAGUGCCUUACUACUUGGAUAACCGUGGUAAUUCUAGAGCUAAUACAUGCUAAAAACCCCGCCUUCGGAAGGGGUGUAUUUAUUAGAUACAAAACCAAUGCCCUUCGGGGCUCUUUGGUGAUUCAUGAUAACUAUACGAAUCGCACGGCCUUGCGCCGGCGAUGGUUCAUUCAAAUUUCUUCCCUAUCAACUUUCGAUGUUUGGGUAUUGACCAAACAUGGUUGCAACGGGUAACGGAGGGUUAGGGCUCGACCCCGGAGAAGGAGCCUGAGAAACGGCUACUACAUCCAAGGAAGGCAGCAGGCGCGCAAAUUACCCAAUCCCGACUCGGGGAGGUAGUGACAAUAAAUACUGAUACAGGGCCCUUUCGGGCCUUGUAAUUGGAAUGAGUACAAUUUAAAUCCCUUAACGAGGAACAAUUGGAGGGCAAGUCUGGUGCCAGCAGCCGCGGUAAUUCCAGCUCCAAUAGCGUAUAU